CAGCCAAACCACACCUGCUGCAGUGUGAGCUGCCCCCAUGGGCACACAGCCCUCCCAAAACUGCUGUCAUGUGGGUCUCUCUCUUUCCAUGGGGUGCAGUCCUCCAAGGACUGCUGCUCCAGCCUGGCAGCAGGGCCCUCUCUCCCCUGGGUCUCCCACUGGAUCACAGCCUUCUGCAGGCAUCACCUGCUCUGGCAUGGGCAUCUCCUUCAUGGGCUGUGGGUGGAUCUCUGCAUCCCCCAUGGAUCCCCAUGGGCUGUGGGGGCACAGCUGCUUCACCAUGUUCUGCACCACAGCCUGCAGAGGAAUCUCAGCUCUGGCACCUGGAGCACCUCCUGCCCCUCCUUCUCCACCUUGACUGAUCUCCACCUUCUCCUUCUCUGACCUUGGUGUCACUAUGUUGUUUCCCUCACAUAUUCUCACCUGCUCCUCUUCUCUGGCUAGAAACAAAACUUAGGUGUUACCAGCCUCCCUCAGGGGCCCAGUUUUGGCCAGCAGCAUGUCCGUCUUCAGAGCCAUCAAGGAUUGGCACUGCUGGACAUGAUGGAAGCUUCCAGCAGCUUCUCCCAGGAUC
Oenanthe melanoleuca is the source of this 574-nucleotide long non-coding RNA. RefSeq lists it as uncharacterized. The transcript has 3 exons. Lineage: Eukaryota; Metazoa; Chordata; Aves; Passeriformes; Muscicapidae. The record is from RefSeq and is a predicted model, not a curated record.